This 104-nucleotide small nuclear RNA is filed under the name Coccomyxa subellipsoidea C-169. Lineage: Eukaryota; Viridiplantae; Chlorophyta; Trebouxiophyceae; Coccomyxaceae. The record is from RNAcentral.
GUUAUCUGUCCCUCGUGACGCAUGUUAGAUUUGCGAUAUAGAGAUGGUUAGCAUGGCCCCUGCGCCAGGAUGACAUGCAAGAAACCGAGAAAUGGUGGGUUCAU